RNAcentral lists this ribosomal RNA (440 nucleotides) under uncultured bacterium. RNAcentral's name for it is "partial 16S ribosomal RNA". It matches the Rfam family "Bacterial small subunit ribosomal RNA", at positions 338 to 795 of the family's 1533-position model. The record is from RNAcentral.
CCUACGGGUGGCAGCAGUGGGGGAUAUUGCACGAUGGGGGGAACCCUGAUGCAGCGACGCCGCGUGGGUGAAGAAGCGCCUCGGCGCGUAAAGCCCUGGCAGCAGGGAAGGAAAUGACGGUACCCGAAGAAGAAGCCCCGGCUAACUACGUGCCAGCAGCCGCGGUAAUACGUAGGGUGCAAGCGUUAUCCGGAUUUACUGGGUGUAAAGGGGGCGCAGACGGCGAUGCAAGCCAGGAGUGAAAGCCCGGGGCACAACCCCGGGACUGCUCUGGGAACUGGGUGGCUUGAGUGCAGGAGGGGCAGGCGGAAUUCGUGGUGUAGCGGUGACAUGCGUAGAUAUCAGGAGGAACACCGGUGGCGAAGGCGGCCUGCUGGACUGCAACUGACGUUGAGGCCCGAAAGCGUGGGGAGCAAACAGGAUUAGAUACCCUAGUAGUC